Molecule: ribosomal RNA, 462 nt
Filed under: uncultured bacterium
Lineage: Bacteria
Description: partial 16S ribosomal RNA
Rfam family: Bacterial small subunit ribosomal RNA
Source: RNAcentral
GACGAACGCUGGCGGCGUGCUUAACACAUGCCAGUCGAACGGAAAGGCCCUUCGGGGUACUCGAGUGGCGAACGGGUGAGUAACACGUGGGUGAUCUGCCCUGCACUUUGGGAUAAGCCUGGGAAACUGGGUCUAAUACCGAAUAGGACCACGCGCUUCAUGGUGUGUGGUGGAAAGCUUUUGCGGUGUGGGAUGGGCCCGCGGCCUAUCAGCUUGUUGGUGGGGUAAUGGCCUACCAAGGCGACGACGGGUAGCCGGCCUGAGAGGGUGACCGGCCACACUGGGACUGAGAUACGGCCCAGACUCCUACGGGAGGCAGCAGUGGGGAAUAUUGCACAAUGGGCGCAAGCCUGAUGCAGCGACGCCGCGUGUGGGAUGACGGCCUUCGGGUUGUAAACCUCUUUCAAUAGGGACGAAGCGCAAGUGACGGUACCUAUAGAAGAAGCACCGGCCAACUACGUG